UUAACAUAUAAGAAAAGAUUGGAUUUUUUUUUUUUUUGAGAGAAAAAGAUAACAAGUUACCUAUUUUUUUCAUAUUUUUCAGAAAUAAACUCAGUUAGAAAUAUGAAGCAAUAAAACUUCAAACUUGGCAUCUCGAAUACUAAUUAGAUAUGGUCGGUAAUCUAUUGAGUAUCUGUUUGAAUAUAUUGAAUCUAUUUGUUUACUAAAGUAUUAUCUAAAUCGUGCUAUUAGAAUAAUGCUUAUUCGUAGUCAUGUAAUAGAAAUUGC
This 267-nucleotide long non-coding RNA is filed under the name Ananas comosus (pineapple). RNAcentral's name for it is "long non-coding RNA (ACOM_LNC011359)". The record is from RNAcentral. Lineage: Eukaryota; Viridiplantae; Streptophyta; Magnoliopsida; Poales; Bromeliaceae.